UAGCAAGAGUGGCUUACGUCAAUAUUUCUCCCAACUUCCUCAUUCCGUUUCAAGCACACUGCGAAAUUUAAAAAGCUGAAGGAUAAUGUGGAAAUUUUUUAUAUUCUUUGGCCCUCAACAUGCUGGAUGAAAGUUCAUGUGGCCCUCUGGCUGUAAUGUUUGGAGACGCCUGGUCUACACGGUCGUCAUAUAUGAAGUCUUAUUUCUAAAACGAAGUUUUUAGGUUCUUUUGUAAUUUUAAGACGAUUUUUGGUGAAGUUAAAUCAAUUGAACCUAAUAAGGGUUGUAUAAUAUUUUUUUAUUUGCUUGAUUUUUAUCUUGUUGAUAUAUACCAAAUUUUUGUACAGAUGGAAUCGCCCGGAAUAAGAAAUCUGUCUUACAUUCAGCAAAUAAUUAAAGUGGUGCAAAAGGAACUUGCUCAGUUCUUCAUUAAACAAUGGAACUCUCGUUACAAAUCAGCUUAUGGAGAAUGGGAUGAUACACACAACAGUGGUAACAAAUUUUACAAUUUAGAAUCAAGAAGAAAGUUAGACCAAAAAACUCGACAAAAAUAUCAAGAUGGAGAUACCAGUAAGUGGGACAGUACAAUAUUAUUUGAUGCAAUAAUUUUUUCAAAUUCAAUUGGAAAGCACCUUGACACAAAAACAAAGGAUGCUGUUCAUGCACUUCGUUGUGAAAGAAACAAGUACGCACAUUGGUAUAAAAGCGAAUGCUCAGAUGAUGAUUUUGAUGAUAUAGUCAACAUCAUUGAAAAAUCAUUUCAAGAUUUGAAAUUUCCUCUCGAUGAAAUCAUUAAAA
Molecule: long non-coding RNA, 798 nt
Organism: Xenia sp. Carnegie-2017
Lineage: Eukaryota; Metazoa; Cnidaria; Anthozoa; Malacalcyonacea; Xeniidae
Exons: 2
Source: RefSeq, a predicted model, not a curated record